CAGCCGCCACGGGAAUACGAGGGUGCAAGCGUUAUUCGGAUUGAUUGGGUGUAAAGGGUGUGCAGACGGCUUAUUAAGUCACUUGUUAAAUUCUUCGGCCUAACUGAAGGUCUGCAAGUGAUACUGAUGAGCUAGAGGGUGGAAGAGAGAAGUGGAAUUCUCGGAGUAGCGGUAAAAUGCGUAGAUCUCGAGAGGAACACCAAUGGCGAAGGCAGCUUCUUGGUCCAUUCCUGACGUUCAUACACGAAAGCGUGGGGAGCAAACAGGAUUAGAUACCCGCGUAGUCCCUGUCUCUUAUACA
Molecule: ribosomal RNA, 301 nt
Filed under: uncultured bacterium
Lineage: Bacteria
Description: partial 16S ribosomal RNA
Rfam family: Bacterial small subunit ribosomal RNA
Source: RNAcentral